UUUGGGGAGUUGGUGAUGGAGCUCUCACUCACCUGAAUCUUUCCUUUAAUCAGCUGGAGCACAUGGAACAGCCACACAAUGUUUCCAGCAAUCUUCUAGUCUUUGACUUGCAUUCCAACCGUAUAAAAGGUGACCUACCAAUUCCACCUUCUUCUGCCAUCUUUGUGGACUACUAUUUUCAAUCACCUUCUCCUUUUUAUACCAAUUCCACCUUCUUCCGCCAUCUUUGUGGACUACUCGAACAAUAAUUUCAACAAUUCCAUCCCACGAGAUAUUGGUGAUUUUCUUGCUCUUGCUUCCUUUUUCUCAGUAGCAAAUAAUGAACUCACCGGAAGAAUUCCUGAAUCCAUAUGCAAGGCUAGCUACCUUCAACUUCAAGUUCUUGAUUUGUCUUGCAAUGCCUUGAGUGGAACAAUACCACCAUGCCUACUGGAAAAAAGUACAACUCUUGGAGUGCUGAAUCUAGGAAAUAAUAGACUCAAUGGUGUUAUGCCAAAUUCAUUUCCAAUUAGUUGUGCUCUAAAAACAUUAGACGUCAGUAGGAAUAGCUUAGAAGGGAAGCUGCCGAAGUCGCUGGCCAACUGCAAAUUGCUGGAGGUCCUGAAUGUUGGAAAUAACAGACUUGUUGACGGUUUCCCAUGCAUGCUGAGUAACUCAACCAGUCUGAGAGUCCUAGUCCUGCGCUCCAAUCUAUUCACUGGAAGUCUUGAGUGUGAUCCAACAGGAUAUAGCUGGCAAAAUCUCCAGAUCAUAGAUAUAGCUUCCAACAACUUCACUGGUAUGUUGAACGCAGAAUGCUUUUCAAAUUGGAGAGGAAUGAUGGUUG
This 826-nucleotide long non-coding RNA is filed under the name Nicotiana benthamiana. RNAcentral describes it as "long non-coding RNA (NBEN_LNC029490)". The record is from RNAcentral. Lineage: Eukaryota; Viridiplantae; Streptophyta; Magnoliopsida; Solanales; Solanaceae.